RNAcentral lists this ribosomal RNA (1062 nucleotides) under uncultured organism. RNAcentral describes it as "bacterial SSU rRNA". It matches the Rfam family "Bacterial small subunit ribosomal RNA", at positions 307 to 1398 of the family's 1533-position model. The record is from RNAcentral.
CCCACAAUGGGACUGAGACACGGCCCAUACUCCUACGGGAGGCAGCAGCAGGGAAUAUUGCACAAUGGACGGAAGUCUAGAUGCAGCGACGCCGCGUGAGUGAAGAAGGCCUUCGGGUUGUAAAACUCUUUUGAGGGGGAAGAGCGAGGACGGUACCCCUGGAAUAAGCGUCGGCUAACUACGUGCCAGCAGCCGCGGUAAGACGUAGGACGCGAGCGUUAUCCGGAUUUACUGGGCGUAAAGCGUCUGUAUGCGGAUGUGUAAGUUGGGCGUGAAAGCUCCGGGCUUAACCCGGAGAGUCCGUUCAAUACUGCAUAACUUGAGGGUGUCAGAGGGGAGCGGAAUUCCCGGUGUACCGGUAAAAUGCGCAGAGAUCGGGAGGAACACCAGUGCCGGAGGCGGUUCCCUGGGGCACACCUGACGCUGAGAGACGAAAGCUAGGGGAGCGAACAAGAUUAGAGACCCUGGUAGUCCUAGCCCUAAACGAUGAAUGCUAGGUGUGGGAUCGAAUGGUUCCGUGCCGGAGCGAACGCGAUAAGCAUUCCGCCUGGGGAGUACGGCCGCAAGGUUAAAACUCAAACGAAUUGACGGGGCCCCGCACAAGCAGCGGAGCGUGUGGUUUAAUUCGAUGAUACACGAAGAACCUUACCUGGGUUUGACAUCUAGGUGAUAGUGAAUCGAAAGGUGAACGACCAUUCGGGGAGCCUACACAGGUGCUGCAUGGCUGUCGUCAGCUCGUGCCGUGAGGUGUCGGGUUAAGUCCAGUAACGAGCGCAACCCUUGCUCCUAGUUACAAGUGUCUAGGGGGACUGCCGCCGGAAAGCCGGAGGAAGGUGGGGAUGACGUCAAGUCAGCAUGGCCCCUUAUAUCCAGGGCUACACACACGCUACAGUGGUCGGUACACAGGGCAGCGCAACCGCGAGGCGGAGCGAAUCCCACGAAAAGCCGAUCGUAGUUCGGAUAGCAGGCUGCAACCCGCCUGCUUGAAGCUGGAGUUGCUAGUAACCGCGCGUCAGCCAUAGCGCGGUGAUACGUUCCCGGGGCUUGUACACACCGCCCGUC